Molecule: long non-coding RNA, 1850 nt
Filed under: Serinus canaria (Common canary)
Lineage: Eukaryota; Metazoa; Chordata; Aves; Passeriformes; Fringillidae
Description: lncRNA (ENSSCAG00000007171.1)
Source: RNAcentral
CCCAUCCCAUCCCAUCCCAUCCCAUCCCAUCCCAUCCCAUCCCAUCCCAUCCCAUCCCAUCCCAUCCCAUCCCCUCUGCUAUGGAAGCUGUCUGAGGGUCACCUGGAAAUGUUGCCAUCCCCAUCCCAUGGGUAGUGGUUGGGUGCCAAGUGCUGUAGGUGAGAGGGGCAGGGGUGUGCUUUUAAACAUGAGGUGGUGUUGGGAUGUUGAGUUAAUGGGGUUAUCAUGGAGUCCCAAACAUAAAGUGUGGGGUUGGGGUGCCGAUGUGAUGGGUGUGGGGGAGGUCCCAGGUGUAUCAGGAUGCCAGAAUUAUGGAAGGAGGUGGGUUCCAAAUGUUAUGGGUAGUGGUGGGGUCCUGAGCAUGAUAGGUGGUGUUGAGUUCCAAGAGUGAUGGCUGGUGUUGGAGUCCCAGAUGAGAUGCUGGGAGGGGUUGGGAUCCCAAGUGCUAUGGGUGGUGUUGGGGGUGUUAAGCAUGAUGGGGGGCUCGGGGGUGUUGAGGCGCGUUUCUGAGCGUGUCCCCCGCCCCCAGGACCCUCUGGAACGGGAGCGGGCGCUGCAGCUGCAGAUUGCCGAGGCCUCCCGCCGGCUCUGCCGCGAGGAGAACAUCGGCCGGCAGGUGCGGAAGAGGCGGCAGACGGCAGCACUCCGGGAGGAGCAGAAGCUGCGGGAUCUGGAGCAGGUCCUGAGUCAGCGGCGGCUCCUGGCAGAGCAGCGGGACACCAGUACUGCCAAGGAGGACACACGGCCACCAGGACCUGCCACCCCACAGAGGUCCCCAUCUCCCAAGGACCCCACCAAGAAGGAGGAGGAGUCAGGGCUUCUGAUGCCCUCCACUAUUCCCUGGCAGGAGACCAGCCUGCACAGACCCUAUGAGAGGGCCAAAAAUCCCAGCAUCGACCGUGAGGAUGGGGAAACCCAGAGCUCCCAAUGCUGUCUUGGGUCCCUGAUGGCUGCCCCUUCCAGCUCCUUGGCCCCCAACAGCCCUGACUCUGCAGGCUCCCCAGUGUCCAGGACAGGGGACCCUCCCUACCGGUUCGUCCCCAUCCGGACCCUGGUGCUGUGCCGGCAGGCAGGUUCCAGUGCUCCCACCACCCCUGAGCCAUCAGGACGGCAGGGACAGACCCAGUCUCUGAGGUAGGUCCUGAGCUUGGGGAGGAUAGACAAGGGUUUCUGCUACAGAGGAUGGAGAUAACCCCAUGGAGAGGGGGAUGGCGAUAAUCCCAUGUGGAGGAUGGAGCUCAGUCCAUGCGAAGUAGGAUGGGAAUGACCCUGUGAAGAUGAUGGAGCUCAGCUCAUGGGGAGGAUGUUGGAAAUAAUCGCAUAGGAAGGAUGGAGAUAGUCCCACUGGCUAACCCAGUGGGAAGGAGGAUGGGAGUAAUCCUAUGGGAGAGGAUGAAGAGAACCUCAUGGAGAUAAUGGAGCUAAACGCACGGGGAGGAGGAUUGAGAUAAUCCUAUGGAGAAGAUAAUGGAGAGAACACCAAGGGAAGUGUGGACCUAAUGCUAUGGGGAGGAUGGAGAAAAUCUUUUAGGGAAGACAGAUAUAAUCCCAUGGGGAGGGGAUGGAACUAACCCCAUGGAGAUGAUGGAGCUCAGUCAUUGGGAGGAUGGAGACAAUAUUAUGGGGAGGAUUCAGAUAAUCCCAGAGACAGGAUGAAGAUAAUCCUAUGGGGAUGUGGGAGAAAACCCUCUGGGGAGGAUGGAUGGAAAUCCACUGGGAGGAGGUUGGAGAUGAUCCCAUGGAGAGGAUGGAAGUAACCCUAUAGAGACUCUAGAGGUCAGCCCCAUGGGGAGGAUGAACUAAUCCCUUGGGAGGAGGCUGGAGACUGCCCCACAGGGAAGCUGGAGCUA